AUGUUUAUUUUGUAAUCAGAGAUAUGAAGCUGGAUUUACACUAUGUUGCUAGUUUCAUAUAUCAAUACAAGCGCUUUAACUUUCUGCCAGCCAAUCGUACUUGCUUAAUAAUUGUUUUAGUCUUAAUUUGAUUCAGAAACAAAUAAAUAAAUAUUCCGAUAUUUUGAUGACGUCAGCAUAGAAAUGAUUACACAAUCCUAUGAAUUCACUUUUACAAACUUCUUUUACGGAAAAAGACUUUUGUUUGAUUCGGGGGCGAAUCAAAAAGGCUUUAAUUAAUAUAAAGCCAUUUUUGCAACUUAAAAAGUAAUUAUGCGUGUGUAUCAGCCGUGUACUUUAUUCUUAGUCUAUGAUUUGACAAAUUUCACUGGAUCCAAUUUACCUGGCAUCUAAAUCACAGUGAGUGGUAGCCGUAAAAUGAAAAACUGUGAUAAUGGUAUGGAUUAGUUUCUUUUAUAUUUUUUGUUUUGUUUUUCUCCUAAUAAUUUUCCUUCAAAACGUCUUUAAACGCAUUCAACGAAAUGUUCAGUCAAAAUAUAAACAGUGGUUUAGAAUUUGCAUUUUUGUGUUCCUAAACCAUUUUUAAAUUGGGGAUAUAAAGUCAUAAAAUCCUAACAAAAAAACUCGUUUUUUUCCAAAAGCACGUGUUUUAUCAAUGAAAGAGCUUCCACCAAAAUUAAAAUGCAAUGUCGACCACCAUGCUUUCCACAUGACAAAAACCGACUUGCGAAUUACUUAAAGACAUAGUCUGGCACCACCACCAUGCUAAUGGCAGGGUAUUUAAAAGUAAAUCAAGACAUGGAGUCCUCUUAAUGAUCUUCAACGUUAACCACAUCACUCUUUUCUAAGUAGCAACCUUGAUAAAGCUAUCUGUCCAAAUGCAUAACGUUUUGCACAUAACCAGCGGUAUAUGGAUUUGUAUACUAAUGAAAUAUAUAGUAUAUACUUUGUUUCUCAUAUAUGUCUUUCACAAAUUUUAUCUUAUGAACGCAUGCUGAACAUAUAAUAUCUUACUUUUCUAUAUUAUAAUACCCCUAUCUGUCACGCAAAAUGGUACCAAAAGUAGUGAGACGCACGCAGUGCGAUAUAAAAAAAACGGGCGAAACCGUAGAUUUUUUCACGGACCACCGACUAUUCUCCAAAAUUUAAUACUGGUAUAUGGUAUAUGAUUGGUUCUCAUUAUGAUUCCCAUAUGCACUUAUAACUCGCGCGUAUUCUUUCGUAUAAGAGUACUGAUAUAUGUUUACUCAUCGUAAGUAAGAACAGAUUACACUCUUUUUUUCGUCUAUACUGAUUAAUGAUAAUAGUAAGCUUAUGUAAACUUGUAAGUAUAAAUAAAGUUGACAAAGUUUGUUUCCAUGACAUUCCAAACGUUUAUAGGUCUCCAGGUAGCGUUUUGCAGACCAUUCAAAUAUUUUAAAGUAUCUUGUUUUCUUAAUUCUCUUUAAAUUUUUUUAAGGAUGUUUAUCCCCUUGUUACCAUUAAACUUCCAAAUUUAUUUCAUUUGAUAUUUCGUUACUCUAUUUAGUGUACCAUUUAGGUACAAGUUAAAAAAAUUAGGCAACUUUAAAAUUGAAGAUUUGUAAAAUAUAUGCAUGUAGAAACGUGUCGUUACAGGGGCUACAAAACGGCUCAAGUAAGAUCUUGUCAUUAAUGAUACAAGUCAAGGUACAAGAAUUUAUAACAACUUUUUUGCCAAAAUAUAGACACACUGUUAAUAAAUAAUUACUUUUCAUGAUUUGCUACUUUUAAUGGUAUUUACCAAAAAUAAAUACAUUAUCUUUUAGUAAUAAGCUUUAAAUUUAGAUCUAAAAAGGAUAUUAAUACCUCUUAAAAGUCGUUGUUGUUGCUUCAACUGGCUCUAUAUGCAAUAAUUUGAUAGGAUUCUGUACAGAAUUUAGAAUAAAAAUAGCUAGCUAGCUAGGUCAAAAAGUUUAACAAAGAUUCUUUUACCGAAAAAAAACUGGAUUUAAAAGCAAGAUAUAGAUGAAAAGCAAGAUGCUUAUAUAUAGAAUAAAUUACAGAUAGAUAAUAUUUGCAAGAUACUUUUCUAUCGUUUUUAGUUAUAGUUGGGUGUCCAGGAUGAUUUAAGAUGUUGUUUUUGUCCUCACUGCUCAUGGACUUUCCUUUCGCCAUAAGCCCGACUUUCGUGCAAGUCACUAAAUUUAAAAAUCAAGAGCUCGUUUUGUAGACUCAAUUCAGGACGGGUGAAACCGGGGGAGAGAAGACGGGGCGGGAGGAGUUGGGAAGCGUUGGACGUAAGGCAUUGUCCCCUUACUCAGAUAGUCUAGAUAGUUUCGAAAAUACUAUAUUAUCCAAUUUAACUCCGUAAAACUUUAAAAUUUGAAUAGUAAGCUAAUCUGGAGAUAUUAAACUUCAAAUAUUUUUAAAGCAGCUUCAACCAUUGUGUGCUAACCUGUCACUGACAACAUGGUCCCUCCACUCUUAAAACUAUUUAAUUUCAUUUAAAUCAGUUUAAUUUUGAGGAACUUGAGUUUUUAGUGAUCAGGAAAUUAACCUAACGGACAUGUUUAUUAAAGGAUAUUAAAACAGUAAUUGACAACUUUCAGAACACAAGUUUUUUCUUUCCAUAAUUUACUCUUAAUACUUAGUUUUAAGAGGUUAUAUAGCCUUACCCUAACCAACUAAUUACACAUACACUGAAAAGUUAAUAUGGCUAAAUUAGAUCCAUUAUACAGGAAACCGCAAAUUUUAUUCAUUGAUAGAUAUUGUAUUAGCUCUAAAAUUGUCCAACUGACGUCAACCUGGAUUUUCAUUUCCUGGUACCAAAUGUUUGUCGUUAAUAAAUUCGAAAGAAAAAACUUUCACUAUACUUUGUAACAAUUUAUACAAUUUUUUUAUUUGUACAAUUUUAAUAUUUUUUAAUAUUGCUAUUUUUGUACACCUCGUACUCAGGGCUAAACAUGUUCUAAUAAGAGGUGAGACUUAAAUAUAAAUUACAAAAACUUGCAUGAAGAUGAAAAAGAAAUUUGUGUAGUAGUAGGCAGGGUUGGAUAACAGAAUAAAAUGACGUAAAUAAAGAAAGAGAGUCAAGAGUUCUCAAUCUCAACACAACACAUUAUAUCACUUAUAAUAAUGAUUGGUGUUUAUUGAAUUUCCGCGCCCGAAGGCGUAGGAAAUUCUUUAAAACCGUCGUUUUUUUCUUUCGGAGCAUUUUUUAAGAAAAAAUCGACCCUGGGAUUUCACGUUCCUCUGAGAGGAGGAUAGAUAAGUGACUAACUAACUAACCCUGUCCCAAAUGGUCAAUUGCAACGUCACAGAUUUAAACUUCGUACCCAAGCUCCCGAAGUACUGGGAAGUCAUCUAAAUGACGUUUCAGGCCAAAAUUGGUAUUUGUUUUUGACAAAAUUUGGCACAGUUAACAAAAAAAGUAUGCUGAACAUAAUGGUGACAUCAUAAUUUUGGUUUUUGUCACCCAAAUGUCAUUUUAGGCCAAAAUUGGUCCAAAAAUUAAAACUACUUUAUUUUCAACAAAAUUUGACACAGUUAACGUAUGCUGAACAUGAUGGUGACAUCAAAGUUUUGAUUUCUUGUUAACUAAAUGUCAAUUUAGGCCAAAAUUGGUCCAAAAAUUAAAACUACUUUAUUUUUGACAAAACUUGGCACAGUUAACAAAAAAAGUAUGCUGAACAUGAUAGUGACAUCAAAAUUUUGGUUUUUUGCCACCUUAAAUGUCAUUUUAGGCCAAAAUUGGUCCAAAAAUUAAAACUACUUUAUUUUCAACAAAAUUUGGCACAGUAAACAAAUAAAGUAUGCUGAACAUGGUGGUGAGAUCAAAAUUUUGAUUUUUUGCCACCUUAAAUGUCAUUUUAGGCCAAAAUUGGUCCAACAUUUAAAACUACUUCAUUUUUAACAAAAACUGGCAAAGUUAACAAAAAAAGUAUGCUGAACAUAAUGGUGACAUCAAAAUUUUGAUUUUUGUCACCUAAAAGCCAUUAUAGGUCAAAAUUGGUCCAAAAAUUAAAACCACUUCAUUUUCGACCAAAUUUGGCACAGUUAACAAAUAAAGUAUGCUGAAAAUGAUGAUUAUAGAAAAAUGUGAUUUUUUGUCACCUAAAUGUCAUUUCAAGCCAAAAUUUGUCCAAAAAUUAAAACUACUUUAUUUUCAACAAAAUUUGAUACAGUUAACGUAUGCUGAACAUGAUGGUGACAUCAAAGUUUUGAUUUCUUGUUACCUAAAUGUCAUUUUAGGCCAAAAUUGGUCCAAAAAUUAAAACUACUUUAUUUUUGACAAAACUUGGCACACUUAACAAAAAAAGUAUGCUGAACAUAAUGGUGACAUCAAAAUUUUGAUUUUUGUCACCUAAAUGCCAUUAUAGGUCAAAAUUGAUCCAAAAAUUAAAACCACUUUAUUUUCAACAAAAUUUGGCACAGUAAACAAAUAAAGUAUGCUGAACAUGGUGGUGAGAUCAAAAUUUUGAUUUUUUGUCAACUAAAUGCCGUUUAAGACCAUAAACGUUUCAAUCGCAAGACUUUCAAGCAUGAAUGAUAGGCUGUAUUUUUUGUUAUCAAUUUCUUUUAAAAUGUGAGCUUAUUAUGACACGUUUCGUUUUGUUUGCGUUUGUUGUAAGAUAUAAUGUCACUUGUGUGCUUUAUCUUCAGAGCUUCAUGCACCAAACCUCUUCGAAUGUUUGGCAUGAUUUGGCAUGACAACAAAUUAGCAUGUUGUCAUCAAAUAUUUUGGUAGCGAGCGGAAAUUCUUAGAGCCCCCAGGGCUUCUUGUUUAUAUUUGGUUAAAAACAGUAUCACUAUAACAACAAUUAUUCUCGUCCUCGAUACAGAAGCAACGUAAAAAUAUGAAUUUUUUUUAAAUAAGACAAAGAGUAGAGAGUCAUGUUGAAAUCGCCACGAAAGAUCUUGCUUCGAGACUCAUUUUUAACAUAUCCAUAUUUAAUAAUGUACGGGUGAAAUCACGUAAAUGAUGUCUUUGUAAUUAUAAGAAAAUCAAAUCGUAGUUUCGACUGGAAAGUUUGUCUGGAUUUUUAGGAUGUUUAAUUCGUUAAUGUUCUUUUGUUUGUUCGGACUGUUUUUGUUAUAUUUUUUGUUUACGUUGUUUUUGUUUAUCUUGUUUUGUUUGUGUUGAUUUUAUUUAUAUUGCUUUGUUUACGUUGUUUGUUUACGUUAUUUUGUUUCAUUUGCUUUUCUGCACUUUUUUUGUUUAUGUUGCUUUGUUUACCCUGUUUUUGUUUACUCUGUUUUUGUUUAUGUUGUUUUUUUUUCGAUUACGUUCACGUUGUUUUAUUUGAUUCCGCAGUGUUUUUUACAUUGUUUUUGUUAACGUUGUUUUUGUUUGGGUUAUUUUGUUUACGCUGUUUUCAGAUGCGUUACUUACUUCGCGUUUUCUACAUUUCUGAGGUAAUCAAGUAAAUUUUAGCAAAGAGAAACUCGAUGAAUAAAGAGUCUUCUCUUCCGUUUAAGUUACACACAUGUGUAACAGCUACGACUUUAUAAUUUUCGAAGAGGAACUUGUUAGUAAUAGGAUUUUGCAUGUUCGUGUAUUAUGACCUACAGUGCUUCCUUCAAUUAAGUUGCGAAAACGAUCAUUGGCAAAUAGAAAGGAGGGGAUGCUGUGUAAUUGUCAAUCGGUAAACAGGAUUGCUUUUCUAUUCCUGAAAUUCAUUCAGACUGGAUUUCCUCUUUUUUGGAAAAGGUUUGCACAAAAUUGGAUUACAUAAAUUAACACGAAUCUGUUCCUUCUUAGUAUACAUUUAAAUAGUGCGGAAUUUUUAUUGACGGUUUUAAAACCGGUUUCUAUUAAAACGUUCUAAGCAACAGCUUGCAGUGUUUUGCGUCUGCGCAUGCGCAUAAGAGUUUUUCCGAUCUCGGCACAAAUAUUUUUCCAAAGUGUUUGCAGACGGACUUAUUUUUUAACAACCAAUUAAAAUUCUAAAAGCCAUCUUUAGUAACAUGGAAAUUGAGCAUUCUAAGCGCCAACAUUCAAAUGAAGCUUCGCCUAAGAAUGCUGUGAUAGAAACCGUUCUUUAUAAGCGGGGCAAACAAUUACCAUGCAUCUUUGUUUUGUUUUUUUAUCCACUAUCAUGCACUCGUUCUACACGUUCAUCCUUUUUCUCACCUUUUUAUAAAUACAACAUCGCAGUUAGUGGUUUUAACAAGUGAUUAACAUUUCGCAUUUACACGUUUGGCUCAAGUGUAGUAAAAAAUUUGAGAAGAAAAACAUUCGAGAAGAAAAAUAACAUCAAUGAGAUUUGAAAGAUAAGAAAAUAACAUCUUAAUUUCAUAAAGUAUGAGAAAUUUACUUAACACAUUAAGUUGAAAUAAACAGUACAUUUAACUUCAAGUAAGUUCUUAACUUUUUUUAAUAUUUGCUGCUUCUUUUUUAGUUUGCAUUUCUGUGAUUACUCACACUAUAAACUUUUUCCUCACUCUGUGUGGUACAAACAUCACUUUCUCCAAUUGAACAACUGUUCCCUGCUAACUGAAUUGUAAGAUAAAUUUAAAGUGGGAGGAAGAACGGUUUAAAAAUAAAUAUUCGGACAUAGCUAAGGUGUGACAUUAACACAACCCGACUUCGCUUCCCUCCGAGCACAAAUGAAAGUGCCAAUGAUUCAUCAUGAAAACCACAAUAAGAAUAUAAUAAAAUAAUUUUUGUUAAUAAUUUAUACUUUUGUGUUACGACACGAAGUGAACCGCCCAACACUGUGUAAAUGUCAGUACAAUAUCUUACGCCAUCAUGGCCGCUAUUGUGUUUAUAGUUACCAUAGAAACAGAAUUUUGCAUCAUAUCAAGAUUAAUCAAUGAAAACUUCGUUUAAAGCGACAUUAGUAUUUUUGAAAUUCUGUUGUUAUGGAAAAAGUAUGAAGCGAGAAGAAGUGAAAUAUUCACUGUUGGUCGUUAUCUUCCGCUGUCUUUGUAUGUAAUAAACUUUAGUACAAUAGAGUGGAAUGAUAAACGUGCUUCACAGAUUACACUGGGUGUGACGCGACAAUUUCAUAGUCUGUGAAAUUCGUGUAAUUUUAUUUAAAUAUCCAUUUCACAUCACCGCAAAUGACAUAAUGGAGAAAAAGAGAUUAUUAACAAAUGAGUAAAAAAAGAAGAAAGAAUCAAAGCACAGAUAAAAUUUAAGUGCGUAUUCUUCUUUCUUAUUUACGGAGAUAUCUACUGAAAGUUAAUUAUGGAGAAGUUGAAAGUUAAUUAUGGGGAUGCUGGAAAUUAUAAAAGAAAGUGCUGCCUAAAUAGCACGAAAGACACGAAUGAAAGCAAGUAGCUGAAUCUCGUCAUUUAAGAAAUAAAGUUGGAGUCAAAAAGUUAUGAAUCUCUUAGACAAAAAACGGUGAGUGACUUCAAAUUUACUAUCUUUUUAUGUUAAGCUAUCAGUUUCUUUUGACCCAAAAAGGUAAAUUUGUGCGGUUGGGUCACGUCAACAUAUUUAUGUUUCCCUAAGCAGCAAGUUUAAACCUUUUGUGAGAAGUUCAAAAUUAGUUUUAAGAUUCUUGCUAUAAUUUAAUCCAAUCAUGGGGACUUCAGAAGGUAAAAAGGUAUAGUAGAUUUAUAACAUUACGGCGGUUGACUGGUCGCCAACAUCUGUAUAAUCAAGAAAAUUCAACAAAGAAAUAUUCGUAAAUUUUAUUGUCUUGCUGGUACUAAUAUGUUGCUUUUAAAAUCCCUGCCAGCUGUAAAAUUCCUGAACUUAAAACUCAUUGCGUUUUUUCAUCCAAUCAACCAAUUUAAUAUAUUUCAUCACGAAAAUCACGGGAUUAUGGGAGAUGCUUUGAAAAAAGUAAAUUUUUGUUUCACUUGCGAAAUAAUGUCAGAAGAAUAUGAAAAGAACAAACAUUUUAAAUGUGUCCUGGUAGUUGCUUCGAAUUGCAGCUAACGCACAACACUGCAGAAAAAUUGGUGCAUGACAUGUAAUUCUUAAGGAAAUCCUAAAUUUCUCAAAAUAAGCAUUCGUUUUCAAUAAAAAUUAUGAUUUUUUUACGGGCUAAACAACUAGUCUCUAUAAUAGCUAAUAGCCGUGCCUCUGCCUUCCAAAUGGUCACGCCGAGGCCCUAAUUUCUUAACCCUUGCAGAGUCAUUCGAUUUCUCCGUGCUAACAGGCGAAAAAGAAUGCACGAAAUACCGAUACGGAAAAUAUGUACAACAGGUGGUUUUAUGUGGUUUUUUCCACGGGCAAAAUGGUUCCACUUGGAAUCAGGAUGGCACGUUAGGGAGUCACGCAUUUCAUUUACCACCAAUAAUUGUAUCAUUUAUUAAUCUUUGACUUAACAUCUGAAACAUAAUUUACUUUCCGCCUCACACAGUGUUUUAACAUCACAGCUUUGUUAUUCUUGACAAAGGGCUACCGUUAAUUAACACGGUUGACUCAUAACAGUUAAAUUAACACGAUUAACUUGUAAAUAGUUCAAUGACUGGAUGACUCAUAAAAUAUAAUCUAUUAAUCUUAGGCUGAUAUUUUUUUAAUAAAACGUGUAACCCAUUACUAAGACUACUUGUUUUUAUUUUUUAUAACAUUUUAACCCCUACAUUUAUGUUCAAAUCGAGAAACUUAUUUGCGAACUUUACAAUGACAUGAACAAAUGACCAACCCCUUUUGCAAUAUAUUUUAAUGUCAGUCUUUCUCACGACGAUUUUAUACUAGGGUAGAUGGACCUAAUUAACUAGGCUUAUUCUGCUUUUUACCCUUCUAUCGAUUCUUUGCUACGACUAGGUAUGUUUUAAACAUUAUUAAAAAUUACCGCAGAGCCUAAAUGUUCUGCUCUUAUGAACUAGAUUUUUUUUUAUAGAAAAACCGUUUAUGCGUUUAUAAUAUUCUCUUGUCAUCCUCCUUGAAUGUGCUUUUCUUAAGGCGGUGAUACACGAUCCAAUUAAUCGAAUUCGAUUAAUUGGAUCGUGUAUCACCGUCUUUAGAAGUUGAUGUAUAGGUUUUGACUUUCAAAUAAGAAACAGAAGUAUUGUGAUGAGAAACAGUAGAAUUGUGUCAUAUUUGAAAGCAGGAAGUGGUCAAAUUGGGAAUUUUUCUUUCUUAAUUUAUACCAAUUAGAUUUUAAUAUCCCUACAACCUAAAUUUAAUCCUUGCAUACAAAUAAUGCUGUAAUUAAAAAUAAAAAGUUUAAGAACAAGUAGAAAUAAUAAUAGAAGAAAAAUUAUAGUUUAAUAUAAAAACAUUUAAAUUCAAUGACCUGCAAUAGAUGUCUUUUUUUUCUUUUAGCUUUUUAUAAUUGUUUGACGGAUUAGAAAGAUCUUUGUAAAGAUAAUCUUUUGAAACCGUUAGAUUUUUUUUUCUUUUACGUACCCAACCGAUUUAUUCACCACCUCGUGUAUAUGAACAAGCAAAAUGUAAACAAUAUCACGUGGUCGAGCUAGUAAACAACUUUCGCGCGAAAACUUGAAGGAGAACGCAGCUAUCUAUAGGAUGGAGAAUGUAUUUCAACUGUGGAAGAAAUCUUUAAAGCUUCAACUGACGUGUAUUAAAACAACCGGAAUGAGCAACGGAGAAGGGAGGAGAAGAGAAACCGUUCCAGUAAACACCGCCUCUAUCGACAUGCGUGAAGUCAUCAGUAACUAAGUUACAGUCGUGGCACAGAGUAAGCAGGCUUGUCAAAUAGUUUGCUUAAGAAACUCUAAGAAAGGCUAGGAUAAUUUUAAAUGUGAACUUUUAAGAAAGUGGUUUUUAAAUAGUUGUUUAAAUUCAGCAAACACUCAUUAUAUGAACACGCGUGAGAUUAACGCGCGAAAGACGCUCCAAUGUUUAACGUGACGUACGUAACACGCUCCGAUAUUCAACUUGACGUACGUAACACGCUCCGAUAUUCAACCUGACGUACGUAACACGCUCCGAUAUUCAACUUGACGUACGAAAGACGCUCCGAUGUUUAACUUGACGUACGUAACACGCUCUGAUAUUCAACAUUGUAUGGCCAUGUUAACUUUUAAGUUUUACAGUUCCAAUUGUAUUGUUCUCUUGUAUAGCAGUUUUUUUUCUUUAUGAUUCAAGAAGUUGGGUUGUUUGGAAAAUGCAUCAAUUAUGAAAUAUUAAUCAAUGUAAAUUCAUUGAACUAACAAUGUAUGUACACUGUCGAGAUACGAAUCCAGUGAAUACGUGCACGAUGAAUAGAAAAACCGCAUUAUUUAAACACACUUCAUUUUUUUUUAAAUGCUGAUUUCAUACAUCAUAGUGAGCAAGUCAUACAGUUCGCUACCAAUCCUCUGUCCUAUAUGCACGCCUUGUUUAUAAAAAGACUGUACUUGUUUUGAAGGUUGACACAAACAGCAACGUAAAAGUCAAACUUAAAGAGAUUACCUUAUAAAAAAAUGGCGUCAAAUUGCUAACUACAUGACAACGAGGCUGUGGUUUGAUAGGGGCGUCCAUAGAGCAAACAAGAGAGGUAUAUUAAUAUUUGCGUAAGUGUAUGUAUAUAUUUUAUCAAAUAUUUAUACUUAAAAUAUUAAAUAAUUUAA
Long non-coding RNA from Hydractinia symbiolongicarpus, 10440 nucleotides. RefSeq lists it as uncharacterized. The record is from RefSeq and is a predicted model, not a curated record. The transcript is spliced from 3 exons. Lineage: Eukaryota; Metazoa; Cnidaria; Hydrozoa; Anthoathecata; Hydractiniidae.